This 253-nucleotide ribosomal RNA is filed under the name uncultured bacterium. RNAcentral's name for it is "partial 16S ribosomal RNA". It matches the Rfam family "Bacterial small subunit ribosomal RNA", at positions 524 to 776 of the family's 1533-position model. The record is from RNAcentral.
UACGUAGGGGGCUAGCGUUGUCCGGAAUCAUUGGGCGUAAAGCGCGUGUAGGCGGUUCGGUAAGUCCGCUGUGAAAGUCGGGGGCUCAACCCUCGGAUGCCGGUGGAUACUGUCGGGCUUGAGUACGGAAGAGGCGAGUGGAAUUCCUGGUGUAGCGGUGAAAUGCGCAGAUAUCAGGAGGAACACCAAUUGCGAAGGCAGCUCGCUGGGACGUUACUGACGCUGAGACGCGAAAGCGUGGGGAGCAAACAGG